RNAcentral lists this long non-coding RNA (236 nucleotides) under Mytilus galloprovincialis (Mediterranean mussel). Lineage: Eukaryota; Metazoa; Mollusca; Bivalvia; Mytilida; Mytilidae. The record is from RNAcentral.
AUUUUUUUUUGUAAACAUAAAAUAAUAGGUUUUGACAAUAUUAAAACUUGUUUUAUCACUUGUACUUUGACAUUUCUUUAAUUUCUGAAGUAUUUUUUCCCUGUUCACCAAGAAAUAAUUAAAUCUGGUCUAUGUUUGUGUGACUGACAAUGAGACAAUUCUCCAUCCAAAUCAUAAUCAGUUUGGGGGCAACCCCUUAAUGUUAUAAAUAUCCCUUUUUUCAUGUUUUAUGAGGG